Molecule: ribosomal RNA, 217 nt
Filed under: uncultured bacterium
Lineage: Bacteria
Description: partial 16S ribosomal RNA
Rfam family: Bacterial small subunit ribosomal RNA
Source: RNAcentral
UACGUAGGGCGCAAGCGUUAUCCGGAAUUAUUGGGCGUAAAGAGCUCGUAGGCGGUUUUGUCGCGUCUGCUGUGAAAACUCGAGGCUCAACCUCGGGCUUGCAGUGGGUACGGGCAGACUAGAGUGCGGUAGGGGGAGACUGGAAUUCCUGGUGUAGCGGUGGAAUGCGCAGAUAUCAGGAGGAACACCGAUGCGAAGGCAGGUCUCUGGGCCGCAA